This 70-nucleotide transfer RNA is filed under the name Schistocephalus solidus. It matches the Rfam family "tRNA". From Rfam's summary of the family: Transfer RNA (tRNA) molecules are approximately 80 nucleotides in length. Lineage: Eukaryota; Metazoa; Platyhelminthes; Cestoda; Diphyllobothriidea; Diphyllobothriidae. The record is from Rfam by way of RNAcentral.
AGCACAUGGCUCAAUGGUUAGAGUGAUUGACUUCUAAGCAACAGGUCGCGAGUUCGAACCUCGGGUGCUG